GUGGUUGUAGUUCAGCUGGUUAGAGCGUCAGAUUGUGGUUCUGAAUGUCGUGGGUUCGAAUCCCAUCAACCACC
RNAcentral lists this transfer RNA (74 nucleotides) under Bacteroidales bacterium. Its description in RNAcentral is "tRNA-His". It matches the Rfam family "tRNA". Rfam says of the family: Transfer RNA (tRNA) molecules are approximately 80 nucleotides in length. The record is from RNAcentral. RNAcentral also lists the same sequence under 1 other name. Lineage: Bacteria; Pseudomonadati; Bacteroidota; Bacteroidia; Bacteroidales.